RNAcentral lists this transfer RNA (72 nucleotides) under Parcubacteria group bacterium GW2011_GWA2_38_13b. RNAcentral's name for it is "tRNA-Arg". It matches the Rfam family "tRNA". From Rfam's summary of the family: Transfer RNA (tRNA) molecules are approximately 80 nucleotides in length. The record is from RNAcentral.
GCCCCCGUAGUUCAACGGAUAGAACGGUUCCGUCCUAAGGAAAGAAUGGGAGUUCAAUUCUCUCCGGGGGCA